GCAAAUGGUCAAACUGUUUCCCUGCUGUUCAUAAAAACAUACUUUUUAUAAGCAACACUUGUCAAUAGGAACGACUGCUACUCCAGACUCAUCCAAACCUCAAGCAAACAAAGAAAACAAGGAACAAAAAUGCCAACCAAUACCAAGUUCCUUAGUGUGUUGUUCAAAAGGCGGGGAAUUGGGAUCCUCUGGCCGGGGUGUGUUAAAGUCCCUGAAAUGUGUAAAUUUUCGCUCCUAGCUGCCUGCCUCAUCUACCAAGUCCGGUGUUUGGCCUGGGAAAUGACCCUGGUCUGAACUCAGUGCUGAGUAAGCGAAAUGCUGGAGUUAUCGAUCCGUCCUGUCCCGUCCCGCCCCGCCCCAUCCCGUCCCGUCGUGGGAACCCUGCUCCAACUGCUCCUGCUGCACCGGCUACUUCCACCUCCCACCCACCGGGAGCUGAGCUCCGCAAUCCUCCAAGUUCAGGCUUAAGCACCCCCUGCCUCCUGGGGACACCCCUGGGCCCCCCAGACCUCCUCGGAGGCUGACAUGGUGAGAGGAUUGUGUCCUAGAGCCCACUGGAAAGCAGUCGGAGCUCCUCCUUCCUUCUGCUGAAGAAGUCUGGCUGUGCUCUUGCAUUCAGAAGCCAACAAGGCCGAAUCUCAAGAACUAGAUUGGUGGAAAUGCUGACUCAGAAACUAGCAGCCAAGCGUCUGUGUAGCCGCUGACUUCUCCAUUCCCCGGAGAAAUAAGAACUCUGAAUGAUGCGGGUGAAUGCAGAAAAUCGCUCCACGGAAAAGCAGCAAGCGAGAAGCAAGAGUGCAUAUGACGAAAGAAAGGCCCUGCUUGCACUGAAAGAGGCCAAAUGGAAUAUUUAAUGGAUUUAAAUAAAUGGAGUAACUUGACAUGCUCAGGGACUGGACGACAGAACUGAUAAGAUGCAC
This is a long non-coding RNA of Apodemus sylvaticus (European woodmouse), 920 nucleotides long. RefSeq lists it as uncharacterized. Lineage: Eukaryota; Metazoa; Chordata; Mammalia; Rodentia; Muridae. The record is from RefSeq and is a predicted model, not a curated record. The transcript is spliced from 3 exons.